Molecule: unclassified non-coding RNA, 104 nt
Filed under: uncultured Glomeraceae
Lineage: Eukaryota; Fungi; Glomeromycota; Glomeromycetes; Glomerales; Glomeraceae
Description: sequence contains ITS1
Source: RNAcentral
CAAAUUAUGGCGAACCUCGCGUUUCGCUAGGUUUUGUCAUUUUUCGUAUUUAAAACAUCCCACUCUUUAAAAAAAAUUAUCUAAUGAUAAAUAAAAAAAAAAGA